Non-coding RNA from Bubalus bubalis (water buffalo), 73 nucleotides. The record is from the annotation of a RefSeq genome assembly. NCBI's taxonomy places the organism in Eukaryota, Metazoa, Chordata, Mammalia, Artiodactyla, Bovidae.
UCCCUGGCGGUCCAGUGGCUAGGACUCUGCACUCCCACUGCCAAGGUCCCAGGUUCGAUCCCUGGUCAGGGAA